AGAAUCAACGCUGGCGGCGUGCCUAAUACACGCAAGUCGAACGCGAAAGUCCCGCAAGGGAUGAGUAGAGUGGCAAACGGGUGAGUAACGCGUGGGUGACCUGCCUUCGAGUGGGGGAUAACGUUUCGAAAGGAACGCUAAUACCGCAUGACAUCCUGUCUUUUAACAGACGGAGAUCAAAGCCGGGGAUCGCAAGACCUGGCGCUUGAAGAGGGGCCCGCGUCCGAUUAGCUAGUUGGUGGGGUAAUGGCUCACCAAGGCAACGAUCGGU
RNAcentral lists this ribosomal RNA (271 nucleotides) under uncultured soil bacterium. RNAcentral's name for it is "partial 16S ribosomal RNA". It matches the Rfam family "Bacterial small subunit ribosomal RNA", at positions 26 to 284 of the family's 1533-position model. The record is from RNAcentral.